GACGAACGCUGGCGGCGUGCUUAACACAUGCCAGUCGAACGGAAAGGCCCUGCUUUUGUGGGGCGCUCGAGUGGCGAACGGGUGAGUAACACGUGAGUAACCUGCCCUUGACUUUGGGAUAACUUCAGGAAACUGGGGCUAAUACCGGAUAGGAGCUCCUGCUGCAUGGUGGGGGUUGGAAAGUUUCGGCGGUUGGGGAUGGACUCGCGGCUUAUCAGCUUGUUGGUGGGGUAGUGGCUUACCAAGGCUUUGACGGGUAGCCGGCCUGAGAGGGUGACCGGCCACAUUGGGACUGAGAUACGGCCCAGACUCCUACGGGAGGCAGCAGUGGGGAAUAUUGCACAAUGGGCGGAAGCCGGAUGCAGCAACGCCGCGUGCGGGAUGACGGCCUUCGGGUUGUAAACCGCUUUCGCCUGUGACGAAGCGUGAGUGACGGUAAUGGGUAAAGAAGCACCGGCUAACUACGUG
RNAcentral lists this ribosomal RNA (468 nucleotides) under uncultured bacterium. RNAcentral describes it as "partial 16S ribosomal RNA". It matches the Rfam family "Bacterial small subunit ribosomal RNA", at positions 28 to 507 of the family's 1533-position model. The record is from RNAcentral.